AGAGUUUGAUCCUGGCUCAGGAUGAACGCUAGCGGGAGGCCUAACACAUGCAAGCCGAGCGGUGUUGUUCUUCGGAAAUGAGAGAGCGGCGUACGGGUGCGGAACACGUGUGCAACCUGCCUUAUCUGGGGGAUAGCCUUUCGAAAGGAAGAUUAAUACUCCAUAAUAUAUUGAACGGCAUCGUUUAAUAUUGAAAGCUCCGGCGGAUAGAGAUGGGCACGCGCAAGAUUAGCUAGUUGGUGAGGUAACGGCUCACCAAGGCAAUGAUCUUUAGGGGGCCUGAGGGGGUGAUCCCCCACACUGGUACUGAGACACGGACCAGACUCCUACGGGAGGCAGCAGUGAGGAAUAUUGGUCAAUGGGUGCAAGCCUGAACCAGCCAUCCCGCGUGAAGGACGACUGCCCUAUGGGUUGUAAACUUCUUUUGUAUAGGGAUAAACCUUUCCACGUGUGGAAAGCUGAAGGUACUAUACGAAUAAGCACCGGCUAACUCCGUG
Molecule: ribosomal RNA, 497 nt
Filed under: uncultured bacterium
Lineage: Bacteria
Description: bacterial SSU rRNA
Rfam family: Bacterial small subunit ribosomal RNA
Source: RNAcentral